AGCUGCAGGGUCAGUGAAAAAUACAGAAAGGCAGGUACUCCUGGGCCUAUGCAGAUGAUGGUAUCCUGAUACUUAGGAAAAGAAAAAGAAUCCUGCAGCUUUCUUUGCUGCCUUGGAGCACCUGAAGCAUGGCUGGCGUUUUAGACCUGUUAAUGAUGUCAAAAGAAAAUUCAGAGAGUUUCCUUGAUAGGAGUACUCUACUGGGGAGGAAAACAAAGGUUCACAAAUAGAAAACUUCAAAUCCAAACCUGGUAGAAAGUUCGGAGGCACACUGUUACACUUGUAAUUGAAUCCCCCCACUGCUUAAUUGGAACUAGAAUGGCUCCACAACCAGAUUUGAAACAUCUUCUGAAGCUGGUAGGAACAUCAGCUCUCCCUU
Molecule: long non-coding RNA, 379 nt
Organism: Lutra lutra (Eurasian river otter)
Lineage: Eukaryota; Metazoa; Chordata; Mammalia; Carnivora; Mustelidae
Exons: 4
Source: RefSeq, a predicted model, not a curated record